CAGUGGCGCGAUCUCUGCUGACUGCAACCUCCGCCUCCUGUGUUCAAGCGAUUCUCCUGCUUCAGCCUCUCGAGUAGCUGGGACUACAGGUAUCUGCCACCACGCCCGGCUAAUUUUUUGUAUUUUUAGUAGAGACAGAGUUUUACCGUGUUAGCCAGGAUGGUCUCGAUCUCCUGACCUCGUGAUCCACCCGCCUUGGGCUCCCAAAGUCUUGAGAUUACAGGCGUGAGGCACUGCGCCCAGCCUACUGGUGGUCUUAUAAGAAGAGCAGAGAACUAUGAACAAUCAUGCGCAGCCCCUUCACCAUGGGAUGCCCUAUACCACUUGGGGACUCUGCAGAGAGUCCUCACCAGCAAGAAAGACCUCGCCAGAUGCAGCCACUCAAACUUGGACUUGUCAGCCUCCGUAAUUAAAAGAAAACUGAGGCAUCAGCAGAAGAGACUCACCUAAGCUUGUCCCUGACCACCCGCGCACCUCAUAGUUUGGGACGGAAUUGAGAUCACAGAACAGGGUUCCUUUGUCUUUUGUUAAAUCUGUAACAUUGGAUCGAUGUGUCUAAGGUUAACUGUUGGAUGUAAUAAUAAUGAUAUUAAAAACUGACCUUAAGGGCACAAUUUAUUAAAGUUUCCAAGUCACUUACUUGGAAGUCAAGUCAAA
Gorilla gorilla gorilla (western lowland gorilla) is the source of this 657-nucleotide long non-coding RNA. RefSeq lists it as uncharacterized. The record is from RefSeq and is a predicted model, not a curated record. The transcript is spliced from 2 exons. Lineage: Eukaryota; Metazoa; Chordata; Mammalia; Primates; Hominidae.